GGGGGACACCAAGGAUGGAGCUGGUGCCUGGGGAGGACGAGAGGGGUUUACGUGGGGCCUCAGUCCUGAGGUGUCUUGAUGUGACGGUGCCCUGGUCUGAGGCAUCCCUCUGGAGAGAAGCACCAAGCAGCUGCCUAAGACCAGUUGGCUGAGAAUCCUGUCUGGGGCCUCAGCUUGCGUCCAGUGAGAAGUGCGAGGGUAUAAAGGCAAAGGAGGAAGGAGUCCCCAAGGAUGCCCACCCCCAGCUGAGUGAGGAAGAUAAGCCCCGUUUCGCACUUGGCAGCAGCCGUCACGCCGGUUCUAAACGUUGGAGCCAGAGGAAGGGCAGCUCAGCAAACAAAAGGAAACGUGAUAAACUGAGGGUUGGCAGCAUGAAGAGUGAACCCUGACUGUGGACUUGGGUUACUGUGAUGGAUCAAGGCAGGUUCCUCCUUGUAAAAAGUGUGCCGUCUGGAACCGAGUGAAUGCAUAUGGCCCAUCUGCACAAUAGAGUUUUCUACACCUGCAUGUUGAGGAGGAUCCGUCCACUCCCACCUACAGUUAUGAACUGGAUGGAUUCCGAGUUCAAAAGCUAAGCAGUGCACUCUGCAGAGUGUGCUGACGUUUUCUGAAGCAUAUGGAGGGAUGAAAAUAUAGGCACAGAACAUAUAUAGUAUGUGGGAGAAUUUAAAGCUAACCUUUUAAGAAAAAAUCUUAGUGUUUCAUUUGUACAAAUGUACAUAUGUCAUAAUUAUUGAACAAGGGCAAGUUAAAUGAUUUUAAAAUAUAAAAUUAUUAGAGCAAGUUAAAUGUUUUUAAAAUAUAAAAUUGAAAUGUAGAAUUAAAAUCACAUCCCUGUGUGCCAUGAAAGUUCUGAUAUAGACUUUCAUUGAACAGAAAGGAUGGCACCCAAAUUCUAUGAAAGCCCCACUUUUUCUCAGAAACAAUAUGAAUAUCUACCCCCUGCUUAACGUCGCUCACAAAACUGCCACGCCCAUACACCAGCACUGCUCAUCUCCGGAGCAUGCCUACAUUCCCUUCUUGACUGUGUACUUUCACUUUCAAUAAACUGCUUGCCAUUUCUUUCA
This is a non-coding RNA of Manis javanica (Malayan pangolin), 1067 nucleotides long. NCBI's taxonomy places the organism in Eukaryota, Metazoa, Chordata, Mammalia, Pholidota, Manidae. The record is from RefSeq and is a predicted model, not a curated record.